Long non-coding RNA from Rhineura floridana, 610 nucleotides. RefSeq lists it as uncharacterized. The transcript has 3 exons. Lineage: Eukaryota; Metazoa; Chordata; Lepidosauria; Squamata; Rhineuridae. The record is from RefSeq and is a predicted model, not a curated record.
GAACUUUCGUGCCUAAUUGUCAUGCAUUCACCAACCUUCCCAGGCUAGUUGGCCUUGAAGUACCAGUAUCAACUCAUAAGCAGGUGUUCUUGCUUAUAGCUUAAUUAACUAGCUUCAUCUGUGAGAACUGCAAUCUCAUGGCCUUCUCAGAGGCCUCAUUUCAGGAGCCCAGGGUGGAAUGUUGUAAUUCUUGUCAGUGAAUGUGGGGGGGAACCCCACUUAGAUUUCUACAGAAAAUGCUAUGUCCUGUUACCAUACAAAGCACGAACUGACCCGGACCGUGCAUUCAUCAUCAGAGGCCCUUCUUCAUGUGCCCCCUCUAUGGGAGGCUUGGAGGGUAGCAACAUGAGAACUGUACUUUUCAGUGGUGGUCUCCUGGCUGUGGAAUGCUCUCCCCAGGAAGGCAAACUUUGCAACAUCUAUAUCCAUCUCUAGGGACCAGACAAAGACCUUCUUCUUCACUCAGGCCUUUGGCUCUUGAUGUGUGGUGUCCCAGCUGCUCUUUCUGUAUCUGAUGGCUUCCAGUAAGUUUAGUAAGUUUUUAUUGAUUAUUAUGUAUGUCUUCGUUUGUCUUUUAAUGUAUUGAUGAGUUUUAGAUUUUAUUGACUGU